Long non-coding RNA from Engraulis encrasicolus (European anchovy), 2704 nucleotides. RefSeq lists it as uncharacterized. The record is from RefSeq and is a predicted model, not a curated record. Lineage: Eukaryota; Metazoa; Chordata; Actinopteri; Clupeiformes; Engraulidae. The transcript has 6 exons.
UGGAAAGACACAAGCUUGUCGUGCUUGACUUAGAUAAUUUGGAAAUACUACUGACGCGUGACGCUGGGAAGCUGUCAGGGGGAGCUGGUUUUACACCUAUUCUGGUCUACUGUUCUACAAUUCCUCCAUCUGUUACUACUACCACUACUUCAAAACAUCAACACCACUGACGUCAAGGAAAAAGACAAGACGAGGGGAAUCCUGUGUCCGCGUACAGUCCUUCAGUGUGGAAACCCAGUGCUUACAUACACUUGACAGUGGAACAACUUCUACAGUGAAUAACCGCCAGAGUGGAAAACCGAUGCACCAUUGGAAACCGCCGACUGCCAAUGCAUCACCGCUGCAUCAUCGCAGUGGACCACCGUCUAAAGAGUGUAUCACGUCGCUGACCAGUGAACAGCCUUCUGCUGCCAGUGACCAAGACUCAAAGACUCCACUCACACCACAACCCAACAGAGAGAAGACACUUCACCUGGGGGCCUGUAGGAUAAAGCUUGAAGAAAAGAGGGGGAAAAACAAGCUCAAGGAAAAAAACAGGCCAAAAAAAUCUUCUGCCUCCCACUUAAAAAAAGAAAGAAAAAAAAACCUGGAAAAAAGGUUCAGAAGGUUCUGCCUCCCCCUUCAUAUCCUCUCCUGACAUUUAGGAUCCUUUUAGCUGCUCUCCAUGUCUAGAAACUGUCCCGAUCAGCCGUCUUGGACUGCUGAAGUGCCUUUCGUCCAAUAGAUCUUGGACUGCUGCUACUGUGGGUGGGGGAGUUCGUGACUUGGACUGUGCGUUGUCCCUGACUGCAAUUGGGUGUUGUGCCUUCAGUCGACUUCGAGUAUGAGUACUGCAGUGAAUGUUUUCCUCUGCAUCCUAGUGACACUGUCUCUUGCUUGUAACGCAGGGUCUUUUACUGGCUUUGUUGACCACUGAUGGAACUGUGCACCGUUGUGCUUUCAGUUCAGGUCUUCGGGACUAGCCUGAUGAUGUCUGCAAUGUUCAGAGAACCUGGAUCACCAAUGUCAGUCAGUAGAGUAGAGUAGAGUAGAGUAGAGUAGAGUAGAGAAGAGUAGUAGAGGCUUGGCUUAAGUUAGUGGUUCUGGGCGGCGGAGGCAUUGUCAUGCGCAGGGCCUGUCCUGAUGCCUGGCUGGAGGUGCGGUCCGGUCCACGGUUCCUUCGGCUACCUUGGGGUGGGUGGACAACCAGGUCAGUGAAAUGCCUUGCUGCGCAGGUGGGAAGUGGUCUCGCUGUGCGGAGGAGGACAUUCACUGCAGUGCUCGUCCGGGCUCAGCGGGGGGCAAGGCACCCGGUUGCAGUCUGGGGCGGCGCGUGGGCCGGCUCCGGGCUCCACUGCCAACAGUGGCAGCAGUCCAAGAACUGUUGAACGAAGGGUGCUUCGGUCGUCUGGGAAGGCUGGUUAGGGUAGUUUCAUGGACAUGGAAACCGGCUGAGGGAUUCCUGAGUGUCGGGAGGGGAAUGGGGGCAGUGCCACAUCUGGCCUCAGAGGGGAGGUGGGACAACCAGGACCUCACAGACCCACAGACAGGGUUGGCUGCAGCAGCGUACGCAUGUACACCAGACCUCAGAAGAGAGGUGGGACAGCCAUGAUCUCCUGGAUGGACAGGAGAGAGGGGACUUCAGGGCUUCGUCGGGAGUGUAGGCAACACUGGACCACAGGAGCCAGGUGAAUCACCAGGCCCUGCAGGUGAUCGAGGGCCUAAAGGCGCACAGGGAGCCAAAGGGGUCGAAGGAGAAGAGGGACCCGCAGGACAACAGGAGAGCCAGGGGAGAGGGGAAACGGUGGAUUCCCAGGCGCUCAAGGAUCCAGUGGACAGAGGAUGUUCUACACUGGAGCUGGAAUGAACCCUGUCAGAUCCUUCGUCCUGCUACGUUCAAGAGGAACUUCAUGAACCACUGGGUAAGAAAAAUAUGUACAAAUUAUGCAUAAAAAACAUGCUCAUAGUCUCGCAUUGUUUGUAAACUACUUUCAAUUCAGAUAUAAUAGAUGUAAUAGUGUUGCAUUGUUUUGGUCUUUUAUAGAAUGCGCAAUGCACUGCAUGUAUUUCUCAGCUGUUCACAUGUAGCUAUAAUAUGGUUUCUGUUCUUCCCUCCUUGUGCCUUCGCCCGUCCGUGCGUCUGUCCGUUCGUUCGUGCCUGCGUGCGUCCGUGUCUCUGUCCAGCCGGCUGUGCGUGCGUCCGUCUCUGCAUCCGUGCCUACGUCUGGCCGGCCGUGCGUCCGUCUGUGCCCACGUCCGUGCCUCCGUCUGGCCGGCUGUGUGUCCGUCCGUGUGUCAGUCGGUCUGUGCGUCCGUGCCUACGUCUGGCUGGCCGUGCGUCCGUCUGUGCCCACGUCCGUGCCACCGUCUGGCCGGCCGUGCGUCCGUCUGUGCGUCCGUGCCUACGUUUGGCCGGACGUGCUUCCGUCUGUGCGUCCGUUCCUACGUUUGGCCGGAGGUGCAUCCGUCUGUGCCCACGUCCGUGCCUCCGUCUGGCCGGCUGUGCGUGCGUGCGUCCGUCCAUCCGUGCGUCUGUCCGUCCGUCCGUGCGUCAGUCCGUCUGUGCGUCCGUGUCUACGUCUGGCCGGACGUGCGUCCGUCUGUGCUUCCAUCUGUCCGUGCCUCCGGCCGGCCAGCUGUGCGUCCGUGUUAGCAUGCCCACGUCCGUGUGUGCAUGCCUGCGUCUGUCUGUCCUUUCGUCCGUCCGUCUGUCUGUGCGUCAGUC